UAUAGCUACUUCAUCUUCUCCUCUUUCUUCAAUAUCCCACCCAAAAUCUUCUAUUCUCCUCCACCGAAAUUUUUAUUGAUGCAUGGUUAAUGAUUGGUUUGACUCAUUAUUUUCUUGAUUAAUUUUUUAAAUAGGUUUGUUGAGGAAGUAAGUGUUCGUCUUCUUCAUCCGAAUUCAGAGACUAUUGGAUAGAGGUUGAGGAUGAGAUUCUUGAAGAGUUGGAAUUUUGGGUUAGAUUUUUUGAUUUUGUUAAUUAUAUGUUGAAGGAAUUUGUUAAGAAGGAUGAUUGUGUUUAAAAUUUUGGUUAAAGUUCUUGA
Long non-coding RNA from Vicia villosa (hairy vetch), 317 nucleotides. RefSeq lists it as uncharacterized. The transcript is spliced from 2 exons. The record is from RefSeq and is a predicted model, not a curated record. NCBI's taxonomy places the organism in Eukaryota, Viridiplantae, Streptophyta, Magnoliopsida, Fabales, Fabaceae.